Molecule: ribosomal RNA, 492 nt
Filed under: uncultured bacterium
Lineage: Bacteria
Description: partial 16S ribosomal RNA
Rfam family: Bacterial small subunit ribosomal RNA
Source: RNAcentral
GAUGAACGCUAGCUACAGGCUUAACACAUGCAAGUCGAGGGGAAACGACAUCGAAAGCUUGCUUUUGAUGGGCGUCGACCGGCGCACGGGUGAGUAACGCGUAUCCCACCUGCCCAUCACUUGGGGAUAACCUUGCGAAAGUAAUACUAAUACCCAAUGAUAUCUCUAGAAGACAUCUGAAAGAGAUUAAAGAUUUAUCGGUUAUGGAUGGGGAUGCGUCUGAUUAGCUUGUUGGCGGGGUAACGGCCCACCAAGGCAACGAUCAGUAGGGGUUCUGAGAGGAAGGGCCCCCAGAAUGGAAACGAGGCACAGUCCAAAAUGCGACGGGGGGCAGGAGUGAGGAAUAAUGGGGAAUGGGGGAGGACCUGAACCAGCCAAGUAGCGUGCAGGAAGACGGCCCUAUGGGUUGUAAACUGCUUUUAUAAGGGAAAAAAGUGAGAGUCGUGACUCUUUUUGUAUGUACCUUAUGAAUAAGGACCGGCUAAUUCCGUG